RNAcentral lists this unclassified non-coding RNA (378 nucleotides) under uncultured Solirubrobacterales bacterium. RNAcentral's name for it is "contains 16S-23S intergenic spacer region". The record is from RNAcentral. Lineage: Bacteria; Bacillati; Actinomycetota; Thermoleophilia; Solirubrobacterales.
UCCGAGUUGUCCCCGGCAGUCCCUCUAGAGUCCCCGACAUUACUCGCUGGCAACAUGCGACGGGGGUUGCGCUCGUUGCGGGACUUAACCCAACAUCUCACGACACGAGCUGACGACAGCCAUGCACCACCUGUGAUCCUGCCCCGAAGGGAAACCCUGUUUCCAGGGUGGUCAGGAACAUGUCAAGCCCAGGUAAGGUUCUUCGCGUUGCGUCGAAUUAAACCACAUGCUCCGCUGCUUGUGCGGGUCCCCGUCAAUUCCUUUGAGUUUUAGCCUUGCGGCCGUACUCCCCAGGCGGGACACUUAAUGCGUUAGCUGCGGCACGGGAGGAGUCAACACCUCCCACACCUAGUGUCCAUCGUUUACGGCGUGGACUAC